This is a long non-coding RNA of Cygnus olor (mute swan), 1231 nucleotides long. RefSeq lists it as uncharacterized. The transcript is spliced from 2 exons. NCBI's taxonomy places the organism in Eukaryota, Metazoa, Chordata, Aves, Anseriformes, Anatidae. The record is from RefSeq and is a predicted model, not a curated record.
AGCCUUCGGGGGCGACACCUUGUUCCCCGGCUGCCCCUUCAGGGCCGCCACCGUGUCCGCCCCGCCGCCCCUUCAGGGCCGCCACCACCUUGUCCUGCUACCCCUUUCACCUUGCGAGAGACCCAGGCCUGCUCCUGCCACCUUCCCUAUGGGGAAUCAGUGCCACCAGUAGCUCCGUGGCAGCCACUGCUGCUUUCCCUGGCCCCCAUAUCCCCAACAGCUUUGGGACUUCUCGACACCUGGCAUCGACCCGCGUUCAGGCCUGGAGCUGAACGCCUUCCUUGGGGAGGUCUUCCUUAGACACUUUCCUUGGGGAGGCCUUGCUUGGUGAGACCUUCCUCGAUGAACCUUUUCUCCUCCCCAGGGAGCCCUUUCUCCUCCCCAGGCCCGUGGUAGCCGCAGGCCAGCUGGGGUGGCACCACACAUUGCUGAAGUUUCUUCCAGGCUGCCCUAGCCCCGGAGUUGUGGCAGAGCUGGUGUGCUGACUGAACAGCAUAUGGGAGGGCAUUAGCCACCCAGCAGAGCAGCUGAAGGAGGAUCAGGACAAAAAGCCCUUUGCCGGCAUGUUCAGGGUGCAUCUCAUUUCUGCUUUGUAGACCUUUUUAGGAUGGGAGUGAAGACUUUAAGAGAUCAUCUCAACAUACCAACCAAGAAGCUGUUAGCCAUCAGCGUCUGCCGUACACAGAGAUGUGGAUUUAUUGGUACACAAAGGCAUGAAAACCCAAUGAUAGUGGCUGAAAUAAGUUCCACAGCAGACAGAAAUGAUGUCGUUAGCUCCUCUCAGUGGUAUGAUUUAAGACAUCUCUGAUAAAAAGGCAGCGAUGAGUGAAAUUAUAAUGAAAGUUAUAAUUUUGAAGACUUUUGCUACUCCUCUUUCCUGCCUGAAGCCAGAUCAGCCAGCCACAAGACUGAAUGCAAGCCAAGAAUCUGUGUUUCUCUCGAGUGGGAAGCCCGAGCAUCAGAAACCAACCCUCCCACUCUCACUCGUUAGCACUCAUGACUGCAAAGAUUUAAAAAAAAAAAAAAAAGUCAAAGCAAGUAUGCGCUGCUGUAGGCUGACGUCAGUUUUCAUUAGUUGUCAUUGCUAAUUUCUUUCUGGAGAACUCAUGCAGUGUUUCCAAGCCUUUUUACUUUACAUAAAAAUAAGAUGCUCACCCUUCGAUAGAAGAAACCAACUAUGAAUACUAUCAACAAUUUAAUUUGAGAAUAAAUUCCACGAAACAUGUUUGAA